AACUGUUUGUUCUUGGUAUAAGCUUUCGUGUGCAUGUGCGCUUCUCCAGAUACACUGAAACAGAAGUCACCAGACCCUUAUAUUCUGUUUUAUUCUGAAACCGAAAUCACCAGACCCUCAUAUAAGGGUUUCAGUGUAUCUGGAGAAGCGUGCAUGCACACGAAAGUUUAUACCAAGAACAGACUUAGUUGG
Molecule: non-coding RNA, 192 nt
Organism: Podarcis lilfordi (Lilford's wall lizard)
Lineage: Eukaryota; Metazoa; Chordata; Lepidosauria; Squamata; Lacertidae
Source: the annotation of a GenBank genome assembly